Podarcis lilfordi (Lilford's wall lizard) is the source of this 178-nucleotide non-coding RNA. NCBI's taxonomy places the organism in Eukaryota, Metazoa, Chordata, Lepidosauria, Squamata, Lacertidae. The record is from the annotation of a GenBank genome assembly.
CAAUGGUUCGCAUGUCAAAUCCACUAAGGACAACCAUUUGACCUUGGCACAGUACAUGUUGUCAGAAACAUAACUGUCCAAAUAAAUGAUUAUUUAUUUAGACAAUGAUGUUCCUGAGAACAUGUACUGUGCCAAGGUCAAUUGGCUGUCAUUAGUGGGCUUGACAUGUGAGCCAAUG